RNAcentral lists this long non-coding RNA (321 nucleotides) under Capsella rubella. RNAcentral describes it as "long non-coding RNA (CRUB_LNC004210)". The record is from RNAcentral. Lineage: Eukaryota; Viridiplantae; Streptophyta; Magnoliopsida; Brassicales; Brassicaceae.
AAUUAGAAUAAGUACUUUUUGAUAACUUUGUCUCAUGCGGAGCAAAGCCCUCCUGAGUCAAGCUUAGUCCCUUUGGAGUAUAUUUAAAGGGAAGUGCGGAUCUGGAGUGUUUUGUUUAGACGAGGUAUGCAUCAAGUUGAGUUCUAUCGACUGGAAUGAAUGCAUUGACAGUUCGGUCUGAUCCGUCUUAUUCGUAUAUCUUAUUAUGGGACCGAGUAUGCGGGUAGAGGUCUUACGAGGUACCCACUAUACUCGGAGUACCCUCCCAAAAGGAAAAAGAUGUGUUUGUUAGGUUCGGUUCUUCUUAGUUGGAUUGGGCGG